Molecule: ribosomal RNA, 216 nt
Filed under: Glomeromycotina sp.
Lineage: Eukaryota; Fungi; Glomeromycota
Description: partial small subunit ribosomal RNA
Rfam family: Eukaryotic small subunit ribosomal RNA (bases 40-216)
Source: RNAcentral
GGGUCAGUAGGUUGGUCGUGCCACCGGUACGUACUGGUCUCACUGAUUCCUCCUUCCUGAAGAACCGUAAUGCCAUUAAUUUGUUGUUGCGGGGAAACAGGACUGUUACUUUGAAAAAAUUAGAGUGUUUAAAGCAAGCUAACGCUUGAAUACAUUAGCAUGGAAUAAUGAAAUAGGACGAUCGAUCCCAUUUUGUUGGUUCCUAGGAUUGACGUA